This 501-nucleotide ribosomal RNA is filed under the name uncultured bacterium. RNAcentral describes it as "bacterial SSU rRNA". It matches the Rfam family "Bacterial small subunit ribosomal RNA", at positions 767 to 1271 of the family's 1533-position model. The record is from RNAcentral.
AGCUAAUAGAUACCCGGGUAGUCCCAGCAGUAAACGGUGCGCGUUUGGUGUGAGCAGAUUCGACUCUGUUCGCGCCGGAGCUAACGUGUUAAACGCGCCGCCUGGGAAGUACGAUCGCAAGAUUAAAACUCAAAGAAAUUGACGGGGGCCCGCACAAGCGGUGGAGUAUGUGGCUUAAUUCGAUGCAACGCGAAGAACCUUACCUGGGUUUGACAUGCAUCUCUAAGGAGGUGAAAGCUUCCGAGGGUAGCAAUACCCGAUUUGCACAGGUGCUGCAUGGCUGUCGUCAGCUCGUGUCGUGAGAUGUUGGGUUUAAGUCCCGCAACGAGCGCAACCCUUGUAUGCUGUUGCUAUGCUUACGCAUAGCUCUCUGCGUAGACUGCCCCGUGAAACGGGGAGGAAGGUGGGGAUGACGUCAAGUCAGCAUGGCCCUUACACCCAGGGCUGCACACGUACUACAAUGCUCAGUACAAUUAGAACCUGCCCGCGAGGGUUGGGAAA